UAUAAACAUCAAUAUCAUUGUUGUCAUAGAACAUAAUGACCCAUUUUCUCAUAUUUGGGGAAAGCAAAUUUUACCACUAUUUAGUUCAUAUAAGCAUCUGAGCUAUUAUAGUUAAGUGAAAGAAAUAUAAAUUUCCUCAAAAAAUAAAAACUAUGAAUAUGAAUGAGAAUCUAUCUCAUCGUUUCUAGAUUCCAUGUUUUACCAGUAUCAAAACUAACUUAUAUGAAAUGUUCCAAACAGAGAAUCUGUCCAGCUUCCAGAUUGCAAAUAUUUGAGAAAAAAUAUAUAUCUCAUUUACCCAGUGAACAGUCUAUAAAUUGGACAUUCACAGAGGCACAAGAUCAUUAACUAUCCUUUCAGAAGUCAAUUUUCUGCUUCCUAAAUUAGAUCUAGAGCUAGGCUAUUUUCGUACUGUAGGCUGGGAAUAAUAUACAGAUUUUGUGAAAUCAGGUUUAGACCGUUUUCAGCUAAAUCACAUUCAGUUCAAUAACAACCACUGAAAACAAAGAAGAGCCCAUAAAAACAAGUUGCAGAAAACUCUUUUCUGUCAAAAUGGGCCAAAGCAUUUUGCUACAUGGAAUAAAGCAUGAUCAUCAUCUCCCUCUCUUUUUACUGACGUGCUUCCUGUGGAAAAUGUGGCCUUUGGGUUUGAAACAAAUGUCUAGUUCCCAAUUUGGGGAAAAAUAUGGAGGAAAUCUGAUUAUUUGCAUUUGGGUAACAUGCCUAUUGUUGGAGCAAUCAACUAUAUCUAAGAAAAGACUGCAUCAAUUAACCUACUUAGAAUUUAAUGCCAACCACUAG
This 801-nucleotide long non-coding RNA is filed under the name Felis catus (domestic cat). Its description in RNAcentral is "lncRNA (ENSFCAG00000045237.2)". The record is from RNAcentral. Lineage: Eukaryota; Metazoa; Chordata; Mammalia; Carnivora; Felidae.